This 56-nucleotide transfer RNA is filed under the name Klebsiella pneumoniae. RNAcentral's name for it is "tRNA-Met". It matches the Rfam family "tRNA", at positions 8 to 60 of the family's 71-position model. From Rfam's summary of the family: Transfer RNA (tRNA) molecules are approximately 80 nucleotides in length. Their secondary structure includes four short double-helical elements and three loops (D, anti-codon, and T loops). The record is from RNAcentral. Lineage: Bacteria; Pseudomonadati; Pseudomonadota; Gammaproteobacteria; Enterobacterales; Enterobacteriaceae.
UAGCUCAGCUGGUUAGAGCACAUCACUCAUAAUGAUGGGGUCACAGGUUCGAAUCC